AACGCGAAGAACCUUACCUGGGCUCGAACGGCUUCCUAACGCCGGUGGAAACACCGGUAUCCCGCAAGGGAGUGGAGUCGAGGUGCUGCAUGGCUGUCGUCAGCUCGUGUCGUGAGAUGUUGGGUUAAGUCCCGCAACGAGCGCAACCCUUGUCCUGUGUUGCCAUCAUUUAGUUGGGAACUCGCAGGAGACCGCCAGCGAUAAGCUGGAGGAAGGUGGGGAUGACGUCAAGUCCUCAUGGCCUUUAUGUCCAGGGCUACACACGUGCUACAAUGGACGGUACAAUACGUCGCUAACCCGCGAGGGGGAGCCAAUCGCUAAAAACCGUUCUCAGUUCGGAUUGCAGGCUGCAACUCGCCUGCAUGAAGCUGGAAUCGCUAGUAAUGGCAGAUCAGCACGCUGCCGUGAAUACGUUCCCGGGCCUUGUACACACCGCUCGCGA
RNAcentral lists this ribosomal RNA (442 nucleotides) under uncultured bacterium. RNAcentral's name for it is "bacterial SSU rRNA". It matches the Rfam family "Bacterial small subunit ribosomal RNA", at positions 958 to 1399 of the family's 1533-position model. The record is from RNAcentral.